GCAAAUCCUCAACUAUUUCAUCUAUGGAUUUUGCCUGAAACAUUUUUUUUUUUUUUUUUUUCAGAUAUCUGUAUUAGUGGGCCUCACAGUCUCCGUCGCAGCCCGACCCGAGACUCCUUCCUACUCUCCUGCUCACCCAGCCCCUUCGUACUCCCCGCCAAGCCCAUCCUACAAUGCGCCUGCCCAUCCUUCUCCUUCCUACAGUGCUCCCACAUACAAUAAUGUUGCAGCCCAAUACAACACCCAGUAUGCCGUAAACGACGAAUACUCAGGUAAUAACUAUGGACAUCAAGAGGAUCGCGAUGGCUACAAGACUCAGGGAACGUACUAUGUGCAGCUCCCCGACGGCCGUCUGCAGAAGGUCACCUAUUACGUCGAUGGCGAGUCUGGCUACGUGGCAGAAGUCACCUACGAAGGAGAAGCACAGUAUCCAGCUUAUCAGCCCGCUCCAUCAACUUCUUAUCAGCCCGCUCCUUCACCGUCUUACGCUUAAUUCAGAUGCUGUAUCCCGUAAACAUGGACAGAGGAAGCCAUAAUUUAUUUGUAAUAAAUAUCGUACCUGCUGCAUAAU
This 571-nucleotide long non-coding RNA is filed under the name Penaeus chinensis. RNAcentral's name for it is "uncharacterized LOC125027501". Lineage: Eukaryota; Metazoa; Arthropoda; Malacostraca; Decapoda; Penaeidae. The record is from RNAcentral.